RNAcentral lists this ribosomal RNA (292 nucleotides) under uncultured bacterium. RNAcentral's name for it is "partial 16S ribosomal RNA". It matches the Rfam family "Bacterial small subunit ribosomal RNA", at positions 505 to 796 of the family's 1533-position model. The record is from RNAcentral.
GUGUCAGCAGCCGCGGUAAUACAGAGGUCCCAAGCGUUGUUCGGAUUCACUGGGCGUAAAGGGUGCGUAGGUGGCGAAGCAAGUCGGACGUGAAAGCUCGGAGCUCAACUCCGAAAUGGCGUUGGAAACUGCUUUGCUUGAGGGUUGGAGGGGGGACUGGAAUGCUUGGUGUAGCAGUGAAAUGCGUAGAUAUCAAGCGGAACACCAGUGGCGAAGGCGAGUCCCUGGACAACUCCUGACACUGAGGCACGAAAGCUAGGGGAGCAAACAGGAUUAGAUACCCUGGUAGUCC